This 440-nucleotide ribosomal RNA is filed under the name uncultured bacterium. RNAcentral describes it as "bacterial SSU rRNA". It matches the Rfam family "Bacterial small subunit ribosomal RNA", at positions 338 to 795 of the family's 1533-position model. The record is from RNAcentral.
CCUACGGGGGGCAGCAGUGGGGAAUAUUGCACAAUGGGGGAAACCCUGAUGCAGCAACGCCGCGUGAGCGAAGAAGGCCUUCGGGUCGUAAAGCUCUGUCCUAAGGGAAGAAGCAUGACGGUACCUUAGGAGGAAGCCCCGGCUAACUACGGGCCAGCAGCCGCGGUAAUACGUAGGGGGCGAGCGUUAUCCGGAAUCACUGGGCGUAAAGGGUGCGUAGGCGGCCAAUUAAGCCAGGGGUGAAAGGCUACGGCUCAACCGUAGUAGGCCUGUGGAACUGAAUUGCUUGAGUGCAGGGGAGGUGAGUGGAAUUCCUAGUGUAGCGGUGAAAUGCGUAGAUAUUAGGAGGAACACCAGUGGCGUAGGCGACUCUCUGGACAGUAACUGACGCUGCGGCACGAAAGCGUGGGGAGCAAACAGGAUUAGAUACACUGGGAGAC